Molecule: long non-coding RNA, 270 nt
Organism: Sardina pilchardus (European sardine)
Lineage: Eukaryota; Metazoa; Chordata; Actinopteri; Clupeiformes; Clupeidae
Exons: 5
Source: RefSeq, a predicted model, not a curated record
ACGUUGUUACAGAUAUUUAUUUGAGGCACAGAGAUUGUCAAACUCAAGACACCGGCAUCGUUCCUCCAGCUAUUCCAGAGAGAAGACCAAUCAACAGAUCAAGGUUUGAAAUGCAACCAAUCUACGAAAAUACCGAGAUAACAGAGCAACACAGAUACUGCCUAAAUAUGCAGUGACUUUUUAUACGGUGCAAGGAUCUACACUGUUGUAGAUUCAAAGGCAGAGGGGCAUGACCAAUGUAAUUGCAGAAUUAAUGUUACUAUUGUUGUU